Molecule: ribosomal RNA, 257 nt
Filed under: uncultured bacterium
Lineage: Bacteria
Description: partial 16S ribosomal RNA
Rfam family: Bacterial small subunit ribosomal RNA
Source: RNAcentral
AAUACCGGAUAAGUCUUUACGGAGAAAGCUUUAUGCACCAUUGGAUGAGCCUGCACUUGAUUAGUUUGUUGGUGGGGUAAUGGCCUACCAAGACUGUGAUCAAUAGCUGAUUUGAGAGGAUGAUCAGCCACAUUGGGACUGAGACACGGCCCAUACUCCUACGGGAGGCAGCAGUGGGGAAUCUUGUACAAUGGAGGAAACUCUGAUGCUACUAUGCCGCGUGAGUGAAGAAGGCCUUUGGGUUGUAAAGCUCUUUC